RNAcentral lists this long non-coding RNA (12425 nucleotides) under Sorghum bicolor (sorghum). RNAcentral describes it as "long non-coding RNA (SBIC_LNC010291)". The record is from RNAcentral. Lineage: Eukaryota; Viridiplantae; Streptophyta; Magnoliopsida; Poales; Poaceae.
CCACCGACUACGCCAUCCACCGAAUCCCAGGACGAUUGAGAAAACAGAGAGUCUCGGUCGGAGGACUUAAAAACACCGAACGCCUUGCCAAGAGGUAAACUUGGUAGUUAUUCUUUUCCUUUCAAUUAUUUAAACUAGUUUGCUUAGUUAAUCAGGUUCAUGCUAUCUUGAAAAGAAAACAAAAAUGUUAAAAAUAGUAAGCCCCAUGUGAGAAUGCUCAUGGCAUAAAACCCAUAAGUACAUUCACUGUGGUGGCGUAAAAAUAAAUAUAUAUAUUCCUGUCCUAUAAAAAUAAAAAUAUAAAAAUAAAUUUAUGAUCCUACUAAAGAGAGUAACAUUUAUUGAGGAGGCUCAACAUGAAAAAGGCUAGAUAUUUAUGCUAACACUUAACUAGUUCCACAAAGCUUUGUUGUCUAUUUGAGCUCCACAGAAUUCAAGGAUCAAAGAAGACUAGCAGACGGAGGACAUCCUAAUCGCUUUCAGAGUGCUGCCGACAUUCAAAUACACCUCCGCCACCUGCUAGCUACAUCAGAAGAAAAUUCGUCAAAAUCCAGCUUGGGGGAGAGCACCCCCAUUUAUCCAGCUAAGUGUUCUACUCAUCUUUAUACUUUACUCAAAUAAUAAAAAUAUGCAUAAUCAUAAAAACCCAAAUAAAGAUUUUGUGCUUAUAUAUAUAUAUAUAUCUUUGCUUAGUUUGCUAAAUAAAUAAAUAAAUAAAUAAAGUUUGCUAUGAACCCUCAUGAUAAGCUCUCACAUGGAAAUGAUGAAUAGUUGCUCUGCCAUGAUUAGUUCUAAAAAUUGAAACCUCUCUUAAGUUUAGGCAUGACUGUUAUUAAUUAAGAUUUGCUCUAAACCUGAACUUGUGGGGAGAGUACUUGAUCUAAAGUCUAAGUCGUUAACGGAUACGAUAUGGGAAGGUUGAGCUGCUGUUUAUCUGUUCCUAGAGAUGCUAGAAUUCUGGAGAAUUUUAUCUUUGAAAAUCUUUAAAUUGUUGCAUGAUGAGUUCCUGUAUGAUGAGAGUUUAAAUUCCUACCACAGCCAUAUAUACAUGCUUGCUAGACUUUGAGCCACACAUUUACUUUUUACUGCUUAUGAGCAUUGAGUGUGGUCAAGCUUUGUAGACCCUUAGGAGCUUGUCAUGUGGUUAAAUCAAGAUUCACUUGCACGUUCACUCAUACAUGCUGCUUCUACUCCGGAAGUACGCAUCCACAUAUAUUCAUCCAUUUCCAUCUCCAGAACCACCCAAAAAUAUUCUACUCCUAAUCCGGGAGAGAAUAGCCAAAAAUAUUCCUGUUUUUCCCCUGUGAAAUAAAUGCUCAAGUUAUCUUGUUACUACCACUUGCUAUAUUAUCUCAUGAGAUGAGUGCUCUAAAAAAAAGAAAAAAAAAUAUAUAUACGAGGAAAAAAAAAGGGGCAAGUGCCCGGAACCUCGAAGAAAAGAAAAAGUGAGACGAGAGGUAAAAAUGGACAAGUGUCCGAUAGUAGAAUUAGGGGUACAAGAUACCCACCAGAGAGAAAAGAAAAAGAAAACAUAGAGCAUCUCAUUCUCCUCAAAAAGUUUCAAAAGAGCAAGAAAGGUAUGUAUCCGUUCAAAAGAGCACAAGUAGAAUUAGACGUUCACCAUUGUUAUCACCAUCAUCACCAUACACCAUUCAUUCGCCACACAUGCACAUCUUGAUUUGACUUAUUGACUUGUUCUUCUGGAUCCAUGGUUUGACUAUACAAUAAAUGUCUUGUAAGUAUGUAUAUUUUAUCUCCCACCUAUGAGCUCCAGAUAUUAAAGCCUUAUUAGAGUAGGGUGAGAGAGAAGACAAUGUCACUAUCCCUUAUACCACAAAUACCACAUAUUUUGAGAGAAGGCAUAUACCAUCACUGCCUUGGUAAGGAUCCAGAAAUACCACAAAAGAGAGAUAUGAGAGAGUCAUACAAAGGAAUCUCUGAGUUUUAUUUGGAAAUCUGCAAAAACUCCAGAGCUAUAGCUGAUCAAGAAUAAGAGACAUGGCACUUGGCUAGACUGUUCUAUCUUUUAACCACUCAAGACAGAAGUGACGGUUACAAGUCCCAUGGUGAAAGGUAAAGUAAGUAAGUUUUAAGUCUUGACAGUUUACUCUAACUCAGAGAUGAGACCUCUUUUAAAAGCAUGUGUACCGUCAAUUUUUAAAGAUAUUGCAACAACUUAUGAUCCAUAGCUGAGUCUAUCCUUGCUCAGGGACGAGCAAGAGGUAAGCUUGGGGGAGUUUGUUGACGGUCCUUAAGUAUCAAAUUUAACUAUCAAAUAAACAAAGAAAAGGAUCCAAAUGAAAUCAACAUCGAGACUUAGGGUUUUAUCUGACAGAAUUCCACGAGUUUUGGUGUUUGUCUAUUUCUGCAGGGGGUUAUCAGGAAAUAAGGAAGAAAGGCCCACACGUCGGGAUUACAUAGAGAUAUCAACGUGCCGCGCAAUUAUCUUACAUCUAGAAGACUCCAGAAGCCAUGGGAAGGAAGCGGAGACUGAACGGAGUCAGGGACAGGGCGCCCGCCCAAGUCCUUAGGGCGCCCGCCCACCUUUUUCAGCCAAUCACGCUCAAUCUCGCGGAUUAUGCUCCACCAACCUAAAGGAUCAAGAAUAACCGUUCAAUCAAUGUCGGUUUGAUCCGACGGCCCAGGUUCACUUGAGGGGACUAUAAAACCAGACCCCCUGGCCCCUAGAGGAGGCAACCCUUGAUCAUUAUUCACUAUUCAUAGACAGAGCAAAAGCUAGGGUUUAGAGAUGAGAGCUCUCCUCUCUUCUCUAAACUAGAGUAGAUCUAGAUAGUAGCGAGAUGGAGAGCGAAGGAGGAUUAGAGGAGAGGCCGGCCUGUCGGUUCUUCCUCCGGUUGUACUUCGCCAUGAUCAAGCUCUAAUCAAGCUUGCUCAUGGGAUGACUCUGGUAAUCUACUUCUAAUUCAUUAUGCAAUUACUAAUCAUGUAUGUUCUCGUUCACAACUCUUUUGAGUACUUCUAAUCUAUAGGACCCUAUAGGUUAGAGUUGUAGUAUAGGUGUAAGCGUGGUGCUUAGACCUAGAUUACUUGUGGAUAUCCUCUGACUAGCUGGAUCGUGUGGUAGGCCGCGUAGGUGACAGUUACGUUGGUCCCCUGUAGUCCACCUCUCGUUAGCAGGACGGGUAGGGUUUAUCGGCCUAUGGAUAAGCAUCCUUUGUGGUGUACUCUUAUCACGUGGUUCGUCCCAGACAUAGACAUACCCCUUUGAAGUAGAGAAACCAUAGUUAUCAUCUCUAUUCUGCUACCAUCGCCCAUAUACUAGAAUUGCUCUACUCUCUAUUCCCAUAUUAUCACUCACUGUUAUCUUACCUUUAAUAUUGUUCUUAUUCGAUUCUACCAUCUUUCCUAUUCACACCUAUUUACUUAUCUUAGUUAAGUUAGAGCGUAGAUCAGUUCUCCCGUUUCCCUGUGGAUGCGAUAAAACCUUUAACCGGGUAAAAGCUUCAACGGUAUUCGUGCGCUUGCGGAUUAUCUGUGUGCGUAUAAAUACCAUAGUACACUCUAGUGCCACGUUGGGGAUGACAACCUAGUAUUCAAGUGGUGUUAGCAAGUGUCAACAGGAACUAGUCAUGGCAGAGCAACUAUUCAUCAUUUCCAUGUGAGAGCUUAUCAUGAGGGUUCAUAGCAAACUUUAUUUAUUUAUUUAGCAAGCUAAGCAAAGAUAUAUAUAUAUAUAUAAGCACAAAAUCUUUAUUUGGGUUUUUAUGAUUAUGCAUCUUUUUAUUAUUUGAGUAAAAUAUAAAUGCGAGUAGAACACUUAGCUGGAUAAAUGGGGUGCUCUCCCCCAAGCUGGAUUUUGAUGUAAUUUCUUCUGAUGUAGCUAGUAGGUGGUGGAGGUGUAUUUGAAUGUCAGCAGCACCCUGACAGUGAUUAGGAUGUCCUCCGUCUGCUUGUCUUCUUUGAUCCUUGAAUUCUCUUGGCAAGGCGUGCGGUGUUUUUAAGUCCUCCGAACGGGACUCUCCGUUUUCUCAAUCAUCCUGGAAUUCGCUGGAUGGCGUAGUCGGUUGUUCCGGCGGCGCGUACUUCUUCUUGUAUGACUAUCUUCUUUCUCCACACCUGCCUCGGUGCACUUCUCCUUCGUACUCUGCCCAUCCGUCCUUGAUGAUUUUCCUCCUCUGGUUGCGGUUGCGUCAUCUUCUUCUUGUCCUGACCUACUUAGAGUCUUCAACUAUAUAGUUAGGGUCAGUAAAAUAGCAGUGUACCUUCUCAGAGGGGAAAUGCAUGUGGACUCCGCCGGUUCUAAUGUAGAUGAUUGCUUUAACGGUGCUGUGGAACAGUCUCCCAAUGGUGAUGGGUGUAUUGUACUCGUCUUCUCCCAUGUCAAUAACCUUAAAAUCAUCUGGAGCUGAAUGUAUGUCGGUUUUAGGGGCAUGGUUCUGAACAGGAGUUGAUAGGUGACUGCGGCCAUUAUGUUGUCGCCUGAUCCGGUGUCGCAAAGCGUCUUUGUUGACGGUCCUUAAUGCUCACAAUUAACUAUCAAUUAAUCAUAGAAAAGGAUCCAAAUGCAACCAACACCUAGACUUAGGGUUUUAUCUGACAGAAUUCCACGAGUUUUGGUGUUUGUCUAUUUCUGCAAGGGGUUAUCAGGAAUUAUGGAAGAAAGGCCCACACGUCGGGUUUACAUAGAGAUAUUAACGUGCCGCGCAAUUUUCUAUCAUCUAGAAGACUCCAGAAGCCACGGGACCGAAGCGGAGGCCGAGAGGACACAGGGACAGGGCGCCCGCCCACCUCUUUCCACCAAUCAGGGUGAAGUUCGGGGAUCAUGCUCCACCGACCUAAUACUUCAAGGAAAACCACACGAUCAAUGUCGGUUUGAUCCGACGGCCCAGAUUCACUUGGAGGGACUAUAAAACCAGACCCCCUGGCCCCUGGAGAUCAUACCUCUUCUACAGAAUAAAAGCUAGGGUUUCAAUUCUUCAUCCAAGUAGAGAGGAUCCCUCUAGUUCUUCUAGUUCUACCUCUAGUUCAUCUAGAUCUAGUUCUAGUUCAUCUAGUUCUAGUUCUAGUUCUUCUAGUUCUAGUUCUAGUUAGUUCUAGUUGUAAUCUAGAAAAUAGGGAGAGAGAAGAGGAGAGCGGAGGAGGAGCCAGAUCUGUCGGAUCUUCCUCAACAUUAUACUUUUGCAGCAUCUGGUUCGUUCUUCAUCGUUCUCCAGGUUCUUCAAUUCAUAAUUCCUGAGUUCUUUAAUUACUUUUAUUUACAUUCAAGUUAUUUAUUGGAUUCCCGCUUGCAUCAAGUGCUCUAGUCUUUAUAACGCUAGAGUAGUAAUUAAUAGAUUAGACGUGGUUUUUAGUCUUGCGAUUACCUGAUAUUGCACCCAAUCCUACGGAUUGUUGUGGUAGCCCUAGGGUAGUGACAGCCCUAACGGUCGACGUAUUCCACCACGUUCGGAUCGGUGUUUGUAGGACCGUAGUCAGACCUUCCUAGCCCCCUUCUCAUCUCUUUCUGAUGUCCCGAUAUAGAUAAUCUUGAAGUAAUUCUUGAUUCUUAGAUCAACUAGAGAACUCUCAGGAAACUUCCUCUCUUCCCACCAAAAAUAAUUAUAUAGUUAUCUUUGGGCGAUCUUGAUUCUUAAUUAGUACACUCACGUUCUCUGUGGAAAAUCGAUACUCUGGAAUACUCCCGGGUGAAGGCUACAUCGGUAUCCGUGCGCUUGCGGAUUUUUCUGUUUGCGUUUAAAAUACCCAACAAGCUUUCUGGCGCCGUUGCCGGGGAACGGUAGCUGCGCUAGUUUCGAACCAAGUCGUCCGUGUAUCUUUUUUCUUUUCCUUUUUUACCACACUCACCUUAUCAUUUUCACCAUACCACAUGGAUUUCACUCUAAGCAUUAAUGAGCAUGGAAUUUAUUUCAUAGCCACUCCAUUUACUCCAUGCUCAUAUGCAACAUCUUCACAAUCCAUUGGUCUCUCCAACAUCACCACAUUCGAGAUCCCCAACCCCCUCAUCCUUUCUAUUUAUAAAAACUUUAACAGGUGGUUGUCGAUGCAUAUGUUUAUAAUAAAUUUUGCAGAUCUUGUUGAGUUGAUCUUGAUAUAGGUCAGCGUAGGAGGGGAAACCACUUCACUGACAUAAAUUGAUGGUUUCCCAAGGACAAGCUUAGUGUCCUAAAACAAGCACUUAUUAGAUCAUAACAUGAAUUAUUUGCAUCAUUACCUUGUGUGUUGAGCGUAUAAGUAUAAUUGUAAAAAAUUCCUUCGGGUAUUCUUGUCACUAACCUUUCCAGGAUUGGAGCAAGAAGAUCGGAUGAAUGACAAGCACAAGGUAUGUACAACCAAUCAUCAUACAACAUUGAAUUAAAUUCAUCCAAACUUGAAUUUUGCAAAAUUCAAGCUUGGGGGAGUACUUUACAUAAAACAUCCUUUGCCAUGUUGCUAUGUUGGUUGUCCCUACCUUUGAGACAUGCUCAAUUUGUUAAAUACUAAUCACACUACUUUAUCUCUACUUGAGUAGAUCUCUAUUAAUGCUCUCAUGGUACCUUUAUUUGCUUUAGUAUAUGUCUAGGUUGGAGUAGUUUCAUUUAUCUCUUAAUUAAGCAUGGUGCUUAGUUUAGGGCUGAUGAUCUUACUUCCAAGGGAGUUUAAAUUAAGCAUGAAGCUUAGGUUAAAAUGCCCUCCUAAAUCAAAUUAGACAUGGUGUCUAGGUUGAUUUUUGAACCGAUAGUAUGCUAUAGUAGAUACUGGAUAUUUUGUUGGACUAACCCCUGCAGGAAAACUUUCAAUAUCGACCUGGGAAGUCCUGAGAUAAACUCACAUUGGAGACAAAGAGAGAGGCACAUGAAGUUUAACAAUUUACACAAGGAAGGCAUAGCUCACAAGUGAUGAUCCAUGGAGUGUGCCACAAACACGAUGCACAACCGAUAAGAAAGGAAAGCUUUCACAAGGUGAUACUGUACCAUCACUCUUCAAGUAAGGUAACAUCUUAAGGUACUUGACUAUCACUUUUAUAAGCUUCUCCUUGGUUCUGGCGUUCACAUGAGUAAAAGAGACAAACAUGUAUGAUUUACAACUCUAGAUUAACCAACCCAAUCGAUUCAACAUGUUUAGUCUUUCCAUCUUUGUGAUCCUACACUCCUAAUCAUAUGAACUAAAAUGUUGCACACUCAAUCUUUAGAAAAUGAUAGUCAUGUAAAGAAAAAAAAACAUUUACUUAGAUAGAUUAUCUUUCCAUAAGGUUAAGUGAUCUGAUCUGACAAAUGUUUUAAAUGCUACACUCAUGAUCUUAUUAUCCUUCAACUUUGUCUUGCUCACUAUGCUUAAGGUUAGAGAAGAACAAAUACACUUUUGGUUCUGUUGGUGUUUUCCACCAACAGGGCCGAUGCACUUGAUCUCUGCCUUGUCUCUAUGAGUAGGUACACUUCGAGCAAAAUAUGAAGGAGUUUUACAACUCCCAGACACCACCAAGUGAAGAACCUAGAUCUACGAGCACAAACACACUGGAGAUACUGGACACUCAAGCAAUCACUGCCCUAAGAUGCUUGAGGACGUAACUACUGGAGUAACCCCGUUGUGGAAGUAAUUACUGACCUUCUGCCGGUCAAGAGAGGCGAUCCAGGACGCCCCGUCAUCCCGAUCUCCAUCGGCAUGGUGGACUUCCCAGAAGCACUCUGCGACUUUGGCUCCAGCGUCAACAUUAUGCCCAGGCUUGCUGUUGACACCGUUUUUGGGCACGUGUAUAGGAUGACGGGAUAAGGUGGCAGUAUGCUGUUUACAGGAUGAGUUGCCGAUGAAGACAGUUGCCGAUGAAGGAGAGGUUGAAUGUGACUAGGUCCGCGGGCAGUAAUGUGUUUAUGCCGAUGGCUAUAAUGGGGGAGUCUGCCGAUGACCAUGGUAAGAAGUCUGCCGAUGACCAUGGUAAGGAGUCUGCCGAUGAUACGGAGGAGGAGUCCGGGAACUGUUGAUCGGUUUAUGGAAGAGUUUUAGUUCGUCACGGGAGAUAAUUUUGUUAUUUCCUUAUUUAUUUAAGUUGUUUUGUGUACGGAUUCCGUGCAAUUUGGAAUUCGAACUCUAGUCGUGUUUAAUUGUAGCUCUUUGAGUAGGGUAUAAAUAUGAACCCUAGGGCCUUGUAAUCUGGGAAUCAAUCAAACACACGUUUUUACUCAUAUUCCAGCAUCUACUUUUCGACGACUUCGUCAUACUUUUUUCUUUUUAUUACGAGUUCUUAGGAAUUCGUCGACUUAAGCUCGGCGUGUUCUCGAGUUCCGCGUGAGUACCUCUUAGCCGUGACAUCCGGGCGCAUCGCUGUUGUCAGGACUAAAGUAUUCGAGUUAUCACCUUUGCCGAUAGCAAGGUCAAAUCGGCUGGCACGCCUUAACGUUUGAAUCGGGUAUUAGCCCUUUGUGUUUGCAGAUCAAUUUUGCAUCAACACAUCUUUUGGCACGCCCAGUGGGACCGAUUCAAGAUCAAGAUCAACAUGUCGAUCUCUGACCUCGAUCAAGAGAACGUCAUCCCCGUGACGGAGGCCAACCUCAAGGAUGAGCAAAAGCAAGCUAUUGCCCAAGCCAUGGAAGAGUUCAAGCAGCAAUGCCUGAGGUCUUUCAGCAUAAACAGGAGCGGCGAAGUGGUCCAGAAAGAUGCACUGCCGGCACCACGGCAGGUCACCUUUGACGCCAAUCCUGGCAAGCUUCAAGAUAUGGUUGACAAUGCCAUCAAUCGAGCGUUGAUCAACCAAGCUGGUGUACUGUCUAAUACGGUUUUCAACGCCGUGGCAAGAACUUUCAAGGAAGGACAAAUCCCGCCAGAUUAUGUGGGGCCCUCCCAUCAUCAGCCAACGGCGCCAGAGGUCACGGCUCCAUCGGCUACCUUGACGAAUGCAAGUGCACAGUCUGCCGUCCCUCCAAGUACAUUGGGGACUACUGGUGUACUAUCUGUGCCGAUGGCAACCAACCCACAGAUUUCAGUUGGGCAGCAUAGACUGACAACAGAUAUGUUGGCAUCGGCCAUGUCAGGGUUAACUCUUCCUCCCAACUGGUGGGGUUAUGGCAUGCUUCCAGAGUUGACGCCGGGAACAUCACAAGUAACUGGCACGAGGGGCAAAACUCCUAUGACAUCGGCACCUCCCAACGCGCCAGUGAACCAGAGUCCUCGGUAUACCACAACUACUACUGCAAGGCCUCACACUGGGAAUCCUCAAGAUUCAAUGUUUCAGAUGCCCAACGCAUCGGCAGAGUCAGUGUUGAUGCAACAGAGGCCUAUGGCCCAGUCGGGGUAUGUCAAUUCAACGAUGGUACCCAAUUAUCCAUCAUCGGCAGCACCUAUGCCGAUGAACGCUAAUAAUGGAUGGCUUGGACAGCAAGCCUUUCCACAAUCGCCCCAGCAGGGUUAUCAGACUACAGGGUUCCAGCAAGGGCAGGUCUAUCCCGGGUUCCAAGGUCAGGGGAUUCCCAGCCAGCCAAUAAAUUUUGGACAGCAACUCGGAGGACAGCCGAUCGGUGGACAGCAGUUUGGUAGUCCGCAGAUUGGAGGACAGGUGACCAAUACAACGUUCCAUGCAGGUCACGUCCCGAACAGACACGUGGAGGUUCGCCACCAAGUGCCAGAUCCGCAGCCGCCUCAUCGGCAAGAUGCCGAUGCGUAUUGGGCCGAUAAGAUUGCUGAAGUAAUGAGGGAACAAUUUGGGAUAAAACCCAAAGUCAACACUUAUUCUUAUCGAACACCGUAUCCUCCAGCGUAUGAUUUGAUCCCGCUUCCACAUCGGUACAAGGUACCGGAUUUUACAAAGUUUUCCGGACAGGACGACACGUCAACCAUGGAGCAUGUCAACAGGUUCAUUAUUCAAUGUGGAGAGGCUGGUAACAGGGACGAAUUGAGGGUUCGUCUAUUUUCAUCAUCAUUGUCUGGAUCGGCCUUUACUUGGUUCAUAUCAUUACCUCCUAACUCAGUAAUUACUUGGGCCGAUCUAGAGAAGCAAUUCCACAAAUACUUCUUCUCGGGGGUUCAUGAGAAGAAGAUCACCGACUUGGUCAAGUUGAGGCAACGUAAUGAUGAGUCGGUUGAGGGAUUUGUGCAGAGGAUACGGGAGGUCAAGAAUAAAUGCUAUAGCCUGGUUCUGGAUGAUCGGCAGCUAGCCGAUUUAGCAUUUCAGGGUUUGUUGCCACAUAUUAGGGACAAGUAUGCCUCUCAAGAGUUCGAAAGUUUAAGUCAUUUGGUGCAAAGGAUAUCUGAUCAAGACAUCAAGCCUUUCGAGCCUAAGAGGGCAUGGAAUAAGAAAGUGUUAUUUGUUGAUGAAGCAACAAGCUCAGAUUCCGAUGAGGAACCAGUAGUCGGUUUGGCAGAGUGGGUAAAAAACAAGAAGCCGAUGUCUUGUCCUUUUGGGCAGAAGGAACCAGAGAAGUUUGCCUUUGACACCGCCAAGGCCGAUAGGAUAUUUGACUUUCUACUUCAGGAAGGUCAAAUCAAACUGUCCCCUAACCAUGUGAUCCCAUCGGCAGAAGAGUUGAAGAGGAUGAGAUAUUGCAAGUGGCAUAAUGCAACUUCCCAUGACACCAACGAGUGCAAAGUAUUCAGACAGCAGCUGCAAUCGGCUAUAGAAUCCGGGAGAAUCAAGUUUGAUAGUUCCAAAGCCCAGAAGCCGAUGAAGAUAGACCAACAUCCUUUCCCGACAAACAUGUUGGAUGCUAAGGGGAAGGCUAAGGUCUUAACGUCGGAGAUAGCUGAGAAGAGUGCAUCGGUAGAUCCUCAGCAUCAAGUUACUACUGCCGAUGCAAGAAGUAAGGGCUUGGUCUAGGAAGGAACUAGCUCAGGAAGACCUCCUCGAUCUGGUAUCGUCAUAACUCAUAGAAGGCCUCGGAAAAAUUGGCAACAAUGGGAAGAUCGGUAUCGGCGCCAGCAGGAGGAUUAUCGACGGGAAGAAGAAAGACGCCGACAGGAGUGGAAUCGGCACAGGGAUCAUUGGAAUUGUCCAUUCUUCAUCCAUUGUUGGGAGGAAAAUAUUAAGCUUCCUACUGUCAGAGACUGCCCUGAGUGCAAUGGUUAUGAUCGGUACGAUAGGACCGAUCGGCAUUAUCAUGAUGAUGAACGGCGAUUUGAUGGGCCGAUCAGAGGAAGGGUGUCAGUUCAUGACCGGCUGGGGGGCAGAUUUAGUGGGCACGACAGACUUAGUUACCGUGUCCAGUAUUUUCCCAGGGACCAAGAAGAGCUCGAGGAAAUGGCUGAUGUGCGGGUUCCCGAUGAAUUCAUAUUUUGCAGGGAUGCUAACACGCAUCAUAUGGAGUCAAGGGAGAACCGACGCCCUACGGCAAGGCAAAGACCACUUCCUCCAUGGUGCCCUGGAGGAUUGACCAAAACGCAGAAAAGGAGAUUGCAACGUGAAAGGCAAGAGGAACUAAACAAGGGAGGGAACUCUGGAAGUCGGCAGCCGUCAGACACUAAGAGGGAAGGUCCAUCGGCAGGUGUCAACAUGGUCUUCAUGUUGCCGAUGGAGUUUCUUGCACCAGCCAGUGAUGAUGAGUUGGAAUUUUCUGAUCAGAUAGCUCAGUUGGCUCUGGAUCCGAUGACGGCUAUCUUUGAGAAACCUGCCGAUGACGAGAGGCAGCAUCUUAAAGCUCUGUUCCUCAAAGGAAGGGUUGAUGGGCAGCCGAUGACUAAGAUCCUAGUUGAUGGUGGAGCUGCUAUUAAUAUUAUGCCGUAUGCGGUAUAUCGGAAGCUUGGGAAAGGGGAUCAAGAUUUGACCAAGACCGAUAUGAUGCUCAAAGACUUUGAAGGAAACGUGUCUCCAGUCAAGGGGGCGAUAUGUGCAGAGUUGACCAUCGGCAGCAAAACCUUGCCAACAACUUUUUUCGUGAUCAGCGGAAAAGGUGCCUAUAAUUUACUAUUGGGGAGAGAUUGGAUUCAUGCCAAUUGUUGUGUCCCAUCGACAAUGCAUCAGUGCUUGGUUCAGUGGGUAGGUGACAAGAUUGAGAUCGUCCCAGGGGAUUCUUCUUAUGUUAUCGCAUCGGCAGAAGCGGAUACUUAUGAAAGGACUAGGUGCAUUUCAGGAGAAGUUUGGGAGAAAGAUUUUCUCAAAGUUGCCGAUUAUGAGAUUCCACCGAUCCAAGCAGUCGGUUCUGACGACGGUUUUUAAUGGAUAGAUUCGCCGAUGAUGGAAAAUUAGGUCAGGGAUUCACAUCGGCCGAUGAUUUGGUAGAAGUAGAUAUCGGUAGUGGUGAUAAGCCUAGGCCUACCUUUAUUAGUGCUAAAUUAGAUCCCGAGUGUAAGCAACAAUUGACUAGUUUGUUAAAGGAAUAUAAAGAUUGCUUUGCUUGGGAUUAUACCGAGAUGCCUGGUUUAGACCGAUCAAUUGUUGAACAUCGGUUGCCCAUCAAGUCUGGAUUUCGGCCACAUCAGCAACCAGCCCGCCGAUGUAAUCCUAACAUUCUACCUGAUAUUAAGGCCGAAAUCACUAAACUUAUUGAAGCUAAGUUUAUUCGGCA